This 2268-nucleotide ribosomal RNA is filed under the name seawater metagenome. RNAcentral describes it as "bacterial LSU rRNA". It matches the Rfam family "Bacterial large subunit ribosomal RNA", at positions 506 to 2853 of the family's 2925-position model. The record is from RNAcentral.
AGGGAAAGGUGAAAAGCACCCCGACGAGGGGAGUGAAACAGUACCUGAAACCGAACGCCUACAAUCAGUUGGAGGGACUUUACGUCCUGACAGCGUACCUUUUGUAUAAUGGGUCAUCGACUUGGUCUCACAAGCAAGCUUAAGCCGUUAGGUGUAGGCGCAGCGAAAGCGAGUCUUAAUAGGGCGUUGAGUUUGUGGGAUCAGACCCGAAACCGAGUGAUCUAGGCAUGGCCAGGUUGAAGAUAAGGUAACACUUAUUGGAGGACCGAACCCACAUCCGUUGAAAAGGAUCGGGAUGAGCUGUGCCUAGGGGUGAAAGGCCAAUCAAACUCGGAGAUAGCUGGUUCUCUGCGAAAUCUAUUUAGGUAGAGCGUCAUCCGAAUACCCUCGGGGGUAGAGCACUGGAUGGGUAAUGGGGCCCCACAGGCUUACUGAUCCUAACCAAACUCCGAAUACCGAGGAGUACUAGAUGGCAGACACACAGCGGAUGCUAACGUCCGUUGUGAAGAGGGAAACAACCCUGACCUACAGCUAAGGCCCCUAAUUCAUGGCUAAGUGGGAAAGCAGGUGAGACGACCAAAACAACCAGGAGGUUGGCUUAGAAGCAGCCAUCCUUUAAAGAUAGCGUAACAGCUCACUGGUCUAAAUAAGUUGUCUUGCGGCGAAGAUGUAACGGGGCUCAAGCCAUGAGCCGAAGCUUAGGAUGCAUUUAUUGCAUGGUAGCAGAGCGUAGUGUGACAUAGUUCCAUGUCUCCUUAGCCCUUCGGGGUAUUGGAGACGCGGAGCUUUCUGUGAAGCGGGCCUGUGAGGGAUCCCGUGGAGAGAUCACUAGUGAGAAUGAUGACAUGAGUAGCGACAAAGAGUGUGAGAGACACUCUCGCCGAAAAUCCAAGGGUUCCUGCUUAAAGCUAAUCUGAGCAGGGUAAGCCGACCCCUAAGGCGAGGCCGAAAGGCGUAGUCGAUGGGAACCAGGUUAAUAUUCCUGGGCCAGAUGGAAGUGACGGAUCUCGAGGGUAGUUCAUCCUUAUCGGAUUGAAUGGGCUGCUUAGAGGUCCCUGGAAAUAGCUCCAUCGCUAGAUCGUACCCUAAACCGACACAGGUGGAUAGGUAGAGAAUACCAAGGCGCUUGAGAGAACUAUGUUGAAGGAACUCGGCAAAAUACCUCCGUAAGUUCGCGAGAAGGAGGCCCGGUUUCUAGGCAACUAGAGGCUGGGGGCACAAACCAGGGGGUGGCGACUGUUUAUUAAAAACACAGGGCUCUGCGAAGUCGUAAGACGACGUAUAGGGUCUGACGCCUGCCCGGUGCCUGAAGGUUAAAAGGAGGGGUGAGAGCUCUGAAUUGAAGCCCAGGUAAACGGCGGCCGUAACUAUAACGGUCCUAAGGUAGCGAAAUUCCUUGUCGGGUAAGUUCCGACCUGCACGAAUGGCGUAACGACUUCCCCGCUGUCUCCAACAUAGACUCAGCGAAAUUGAAUUACCGGUCAAGAUGCCGGUUACCCGCGGUUAGACGGAAAGACCCCGUGCACCUUUACUACAACUUCACACUGGCAUUAGGCCGAACAUGUGCAGGAUAGGUGGUGGGCUUUGAAGCGUGGACGCCAGUCUGCGUGGAGCCUCCCUUGAGAUACCACCCUUGUUCUGCUUGAUGUCUAACCGCGGUCCGUUAUCCGGAUCCGGGACCCUGUGUGGUGGGUAGUUUGACUGGGGCGGUCGCCUCCUAAAUCGUAACGGAGGCGCGCGAAGGUUGGCUCAGAGCGGUCGGAAAUCGCUCGUUGAGUGCAAUGGCAGAAGCCAGCCUGACUGCGAGACUGACAAGUCGAGCAGAGUCGAAAGACGGCCAUAGUGAUCCGGUGGUCCCAAGUGGGAGGGCCAUCGCUCAACGGAUAAAAGGUACGCCGGGGAUAACAGGCUGAUACUGCCCAAGAGUCCAUAUCGACGGCAGUGUUUGGCACCUCGAUGUCGGCUCAUCUCAUCCUGGGGCUGGAGCAGGUCCCAAGGGUACGGCUGUUCGCCGUUUAAAGAGGUACGUGAGCUGGGUUUAGAACGUCGUGAGACAGUUCGGUCCCUAUCUUCCGUGGGUGUAGGAUACUUGAGAGGAGUUGCCCCUAGUACGAGAGGACCGGGGUGAACGAUCCACUGGUGGACCAGUUGUUAUGCCAAUAGCAGUGCUGGGUAGCUAUGAUCGGACAGGAUAACCGCUGAAGGCAUCUAAGCGGGAAGCCCCCCUCAAAACAAGGUAUCCCUGAGAGCCGAGGUAGACCACCUCGU